Molecule: ribosomal RNA, 696 nt
Filed under: Mallomonas sp.
Lineage: Eukaryota; Synurophyceae; Synurales; Mallomonadaceae
Description: eukaryotic LSU rRNA
Rfam family: Eukaryotic large subunit ribosomal RNA
Source: RNAcentral
ACUGAUAAUCUCCGGAGUUGUAGUCUGUAUAAGCUAAAUCAACUACAGCUGGGUCUGUAAAGUCUUCUGGAAUGGAGCACCAAGGAGGGUGAUAGCCCCGUUCAUACUUACCCAGCUUGGUGUACGAUUAGCUUUAUAAGAGUCGAGUUGCUUGGGAUUGCAGCUCUAAGUGGGUGGUAAAUUCCAUCUAAAGCUAAAUAUUGGUGGGAGACCGAUAGCAAACAAGUACCGUGAGGGAAAGAUGAAAAGAGCUUUGAAAAGAGAGUUAAAAGUACCUGAAAUUGCUGAAAUGGAACCGAUGGGAGGCAGUGUUGGUGUAUAUUUGGGUAAGUUAUCGCUUGCGGUAUCGGUUCCCAAAGUGCACAAGUCAGGCUUGCUUGGUAAUACGGGAUAGACUUAGGUCGUCGUAUUGUUGAGUGACUCUGACGAAAUGCCUCUUAUCAUCCCGUCUUGAAACACGGACCAAGGAGUCUAACAUGUGUGCGAGUGUUCGGAGCUUAUCUCCAAGCGCGGAAUUAACGUAAAGGUGAAUCUAUGUUCACUAAGGUAGGAUGCUUUGCUGCACUAUCGACCGACCAUGAGUCUUCGGGUUCAAGGUUUGAGUGUGAGCAUACAUGUUGGGACCCGAAAGAUGGUGAACUAUGCUUGAGUAGGACGAAGCCAGGGGAAACUCUGGUGGAGGUCCGCAGCGAUUCU